This 391-nucleotide ribosomal RNA is filed under the name Falcileptoneta unmunensis. RNAcentral describes it as "partial large subunit ribosomal RNA". It matches the Rfam family "Bacterial large subunit ribosomal RNA", at positions 1928 to 2607 of the family's 2925-position model. Lineage: Eukaryota; Metazoa; Arthropoda; Arachnida; Araneae; Leptonetidae. The record is from RNAcentral.
CAGCCGCAGAACUCUGUGCUAAGGUAGCAUAAUCAUUUGUCUUUCAAUUAAAGACUAGAAUGAAUGGUCAAACGAAUAAAAAAUUUAAAUAAAAUAACACAUUAAAAUUAAAUUUUCUGUAAAAAUACAACAAUUAACAAAAAAGACGACAAGACCCCAUCGAACUUAACCAAAGUUAUGCUGGGGCAGCAUUAUAAUAACACUUUUAUCCUGCAACCACAAGCACUACCCUUAUAAUAACAAAAAAAGUUACCGUGGGGAUAACAGCGCAAUUUAUUUCAAAAGCUCAUAUACAAAAAUAAGAUUACGACCUCGAUGUUGAAUUAAUUAACAAAUAGAUGCAAAAAUCUAUAAGAAAGUCUGUUCGACCUUUAAAAAAUUACAUGAUCUG